UACGUAGGCAGCAAGCGUUGUUCGGAGUUACUGGGCGUAAAGAGUGUGUAGGCGGUGCUCCCAGUCUGUUGUGAAAUCUCCCGGCUUAACUGGGAGGGUGCAGCGGAAACUAGAGUGCUAGAGGGUGGGAGAGGUAAGCGGAAUUCCUGGUGUAGCGGUGAAAUGCGUAGAUAUCAGGAGGAACACCUGUGGUGUAGACAGCUUACUGGACCACUUCUGACGCUGAGACACGAAAGCGUGGGUAGCAAACAGG
This 253-nucleotide ribosomal RNA is filed under the name uncultured bacterium. RNAcentral describes it as "partial 16S ribosomal RNA". It matches the Rfam family "Bacterial small subunit ribosomal RNA", at positions 524 to 776 of the family's 1533-position model. The record is from RNAcentral.